CCUUGAUGAGACAACUACUCUAUAAUCCAAAACUUCAAGCAGCAUGCCCGCUUCCAUUUGAUGAAGCUAAGUUGUGGAAGGGUCAACGUGGACCUGAACUGAAACAGAAAAUUCAAGGAGAAUUCAGAAACAUUAGGUUUUCUCAAUUUCUGUCAGCUCUCAUUUUGAAAUGCUUACCCUAUCAAAAGCUGUAAAUUUUUGACAUCAAAUGUAGAAAGGCCAAUCUAGGACUUUUACCUUCUCCUUUAAGUAACUUGUUAAUCUUUCUCCACUGUAGAAUUGGUAAAAUUAUCAUAAUUUUUUUUCUCUGGUUUCUGCCUUCCUUUUGAUUACUGUCUGUAGACUGUCCUGCCUAUGUGGAAAUGAUAUAACUAGAC
Molecule: long non-coding RNA, 377 nt
Filed under: Manihot esculenta (cassava)
Lineage: Eukaryota; Viridiplantae; Streptophyta; Magnoliopsida; Malpighiales; Euphorbiaceae
Description: long non-coding RNA (MESC_LNC010403)
Source: RNAcentral